RNAcentral lists this ribosomal RNA (497 nucleotides) under uncultured bacterium. Its description in RNAcentral is "partial 16S ribosomal RNA". It matches the Rfam family "Bacterial small subunit ribosomal RNA", at positions 28 to 507 of the family's 1533-position model. The record is from RNAcentral.
GAUGAACGCCGGCGGCGUGCCUAAUACAUGCAAGUCGAGCGAACGGACGAGAAGCUUGCUUCUCUGAUGUUAGCGGCGGACGGGUGAGUAACACGUGGAUAACCUACCUAUAAGACUGGGAUAACUUCGGGAAUCCGUAGCUAAUACCGGAUAAUAUUUUGAACCGCAUGGUUCAAAAGUGAAAGACGGUCUUGCUGUCACUUAUAGAUGGAUCCGCGCUGCAUUAGCUAGUUGGUAAGGUAACGGCUUACCAAGGCAACGAUGCAUAGCCGACCUGAGAGGGUGAUCGGCCACACUGGAACUGAGACACGGUCCAGACUCCUACGGGAGGCAGCAGUAGGGAAUCUUCCGCAAUGGGCGAAAGCCUGACGGAGCAACGCCGCGUGAGUGAUGAAGGUCUUCGGAUCGUAAAACUCUGUUAUUAGGGAAGAACAUAUGUGUAAGUAACUGUGCACAUCUUGACGGUACCUAAUCAGAAAGCCACGGCUAACUACGUG